This is a long non-coding RNA of Pocillopora verrucosa, 622 nucleotides long. RefSeq lists it as uncharacterized. The record is from RefSeq and is a predicted model, not a curated record. NCBI's taxonomy places the organism in Eukaryota, Metazoa, Cnidaria, Anthozoa, Scleractinia, Pocilloporidae.
GGAGCAUUAUGGCGCAACGCGCAAAAUAGUUACAGACGCAUAUACAAGUCGUAUUAAUCGCGGCUUAUCCACCCUGAAAGAUGUUAUUAAGCGGUAAUUUUGGAACGGAUUGAGUCGCGAACGCUUGAAAGCCAUGAAAGCCUUGAAUGCCUUGUAUGCUAAGUAUGCCAAUGUCUUAGUUGAAAAACGUUCACUUGUUGAAAAAAGCAAAAUCUGAAAUCUGAAACCAAACUGCAUAUACUCUAUGCAAUCUAUUGAACAACACUACUACCGUGAGACUAAAGAACAUAUCUAUAAUGGAUGCAAACUGCUUGGGAAGAAAGACGACAUGUUGGAUUCACUUGAUGGCAAGGAACGUAGCUAAGAUAACAGUACGAAUGGUAUUAAUUUCACGAUCAGAAAGGCGGCCCAAGCUCACGUCUCGAGAAAAAGCCAACGAUUAAUUCAUGAACGCGUCACGCGUUGUGUGACUCGGUCUUAAGUUACGAGAGGAACUGUUGGAAAUUUGAACACGUCAUAAGGAAUAGUAUAGGGAACGAAGUAUGGUCGAUUUAAAACGAUAAAUAUUUCGAAAUAUGAACAUUUUUCUCGUAAAAUCAAUAAAACUUACUCAUACCCUGUG